This 118-nucleotide non-coding RNA is filed under the name Erinaceus europaeus (western European hedgehog). Lineage: Eukaryota; Metazoa; Chordata; Mammalia; Eulipotyphla; Erinaceidae. The record is from RNAcentral.
AAAAAGAAAAAGAAGAGAGAAUGGUUAGCACUCUCCUUUGACAGACAGAAGAGGCUUUGGCCUGCAACACAUAUGGUUAAAAGCAUGGCCACCUACUUCGUAGCAUCAACUGUUUUUU